Molecule: long non-coding RNA, 1518 nt
Filed under: Heterocephalus glaber (naked mole-rat)
Lineage: Eukaryota; Metazoa; Chordata; Mammalia; Rodentia; Bathyergidae
Description: lncRNA (ENSHGLG00000047524.1)
Source: RNAcentral
GCAGAAAACAGUGAGCUAGAAAGUAGCCGAGGGACUGGAAGACAGCGGAGGUCUGCGCUGGAUUUAGCGGUGUUCGGUGAUGGGAUUCAAAUGUAGAUGCGUGCGAAUCGUCUGUGCUAAAUCCGGGCGCUCAGACGCGAAGGGACCCAGGGACCCAGGAACCGAAAGGCCUCCCGUGGCCCCGAUUUUGUAAAUGAGGACUGUGAACUCUAUAGUCAGGUGACCUCCAGAAGCUUAGCUCGCGACUCAGUGGCCCUGUGAAUCGUGUCUGCCCGCACGUGUAGCCACACAGCCUGCGGGAAGGUGGCCAGUUCUUCACCCAGCGCGCCACUGGGCAGCAGAAGGAGGCGGACAGCCUACUCCUGCCCCUCGGCCGGACGACCCGCGGCUGCCGCGCCCAGCACCUCUGCACCUGCCUGGCUGAGGUGAGAUGCCCCGGAGCGCAGGCCUGAGCCGAGCUGUCCCGGCCGCCAGGGGUCGAUGACCUGGAGUGAUGGGCAGCAGAUGGGAGUGUGAGGCGGGGAAUCACCCCGAAACAGCAAGCCCAGCUGAAGCGAGGCAAAGCAGAGGGGCUGCGGUACCUCUCCAGAGGGCCCUGCUCUGGCUCCCCAGGCCCGAGUUCCUCAUGGUGGAUUCAGCCGAGGCCGAAGGUUCGCUUCCUGAGAAGCCUGCGGGACGCGGGCUGCCUCACAGCGCAGGCUGCAGGCUAAGGACCGGCUGCUGCCGCGCUGCUCCGCGCGCAGGGAAAGUGGAGCUGGGCCUGGAUGGGAGGAAGGAUUUCCUCGCCUCUUGGGCGCGGCCGCUCCGGCAGGGCCACACAAGUCCCCCUUUGUGGAGGGCCCUGCUCCUGCGCACACCGAAGUCAGCGAACAAUAGCGCAAUGUUGCCGCCGUUGGCCCCGCUCUCCCGGCCACACCGCGGCGGCAGAAGGCGAGGAAACCGGGUGGCGCUUUUUUAUAGCCACAAAUAUAAAAUCGGGGCUUCCCCCCCUUUCACUCGCCUCUUGCCCCAACGCCGAUAGAAAGCAGAUAAAUUUAUGAAGGGCGAGCUAAGAGAAUAAUUACAGGGUGACGGCCGUUAAAUUUUAUUUCCAGUCCCAAAGGCAAAACCUGUGAUUUUAUUGCAAACAUCUGGAAAGACCGAGAGGUGGGCAUGCUGCUGGUUUAAAAUAAAAAUAGAAGAUUUUUAUUUCUCGAAAACAAAAACCAUCAUGAAAGACCUUUUGCCCCCACGGUCUUUUAUUUUUAAAAAGUGUGAGGGGGGUGGUAGAAUAGACAAGGAUGCACGCGGCCCGAAAGCCCACUGGGACCCUCGAGAGGCGCUCUGCUGCACCUCGGGCCGGCCGCUUGGUCUCCUGAACCGACUUUAGGCGGGCGUCUCCAGAAAUCUGCUCCUUCCCCUACGCCGCCUCGGACCACUCACGCAGCCCCUUGCGUGCUCUCCUGUUGCUUUGGGAUGCCAGUUUGGGAAAAGAAGUGAAAAGUGGGAAUGCGGGCUUCAUAUUCCCGAAAGAUUCCA